GGGAACUGUGGUGACGGCCUUCGA
RNAcentral lists this non-coding RNA (24 nucleotides) under Cricetulus griseus (Chinese hamster). The record is from RNAcentral. Lineage: Eukaryota; Metazoa; Chordata; Mammalia; Rodentia; Cricetidae.